This 219-nucleotide ribosomal RNA is filed under the name uncultured bacterium. RNAcentral describes it as "partial 16S ribosomal RNA". It matches the Rfam family "Bacterial small subunit ribosomal RNA", at positions 1284 to 1500 of the family's 1533-position model. The record is from RNAcentral.
AUUCUCAGUUCGGAUUGUAGGCUGAAACUCGCCUACAUGAAGCUGGAGUUACUAGUAAUCGCAGAUCAGAAUGCUGCGGUGAGUGCGUUCCCGGGUCUUGUACACACCGCCCGUCACACCACGGAAGUUGGGGGCGCCCGAAGCCACUUAGCUAACCCUUUUGGGAAGCGAGUGUCGAAGGUGAAAUCAAUAACUGGGGUGAAGUCGUAACAAGGUACC